RNAcentral lists this ribosomal RNA (478 nucleotides) under uncultured bacterium. RNAcentral describes it as "partial 16S ribosomal RNA". It matches the Rfam family "Bacterial small subunit ribosomal RNA", at positions 28 to 507 of the family's 1533-position model. The record is from RNAcentral.
GAUGAACGCUGGCGGCGUGCUUAACACAUGCAAGUCGAACGGGAAUUAUUUUAUUGAAACUUCGGUCGAUUUAAUUUAAUUCUAGUGGCGGACGGGUGAGUAACGCGUGGGUAACCUGCCUUAUACAGGGGGAUAACAGUCAGAAAUGGCUGCUAAUACCGCAUAAGCGCACAGAGCUGCAUGGCUCAGUGUGAAAAACUCCGGUGGUAUAAGAUGGACCCGCGUUGGAUUAGCUGGUUGGUGGGGUAACGGCCCACCAAGGCGACGAUCCAUAGCCGGCCUGAGAGGGUGAACGGCCACAUUGGGACUGAGACACGGCCCAGACUCCUACGGGAGGCAGCAGUGGGGAAUAUUGCACAAUGGGGGAAACCCUGAUGCAGCGACGCCGCGUGAAGGAAGAAGUAUCUCGGGAUGUAAACUUCUAUCAGCAGGGAAGAUAGUGACGGUACCUGACGAAGAAGCCCCGGCUAACUACGUG